Molecule: ribosomal RNA, 446 nt
Filed under: uncultured bacterium
Lineage: Bacteria
Description: partial 16S ribosomal RNA
Rfam family: Bacterial small subunit ribosomal RNA
Source: RNAcentral
CCUACGGGUGGCAGCAGUCGAGAAUCAUUCACAAUGGGGGAAACCCUGAUGGUGCGACGCCGCGUGGGGGAAUGAAGGUCUUCGGAUUGUAAACCCCUGUCAUGUGGGAGCAAAUUAAAAAGAUAGUACCACAAGAGGAAGAGACGGCUAACUCUGUGCCAGCAGCCGCGGUAAUACAGAGGUCUCAAGCGUUGUUCGGAAUCACUGGGCGUAAAGGGUGCGUAGGCUGUUUCGUAAGUCGUGUGUGAAAGGCGCGGGCUCAACCCGCGGACUGCACAUGAUACUGCGAGACUAGAGUAAUGGAGGUGGAACCGGAAUUCUCGGUGUAGCAGUGAAAUGCGUAGAUAUCGAGAGGAACACUCGUGGCGAAGGCGGGUUCCUGGACAUUAACUGACGCUGAGGCACGAAGGCCAGGGGAGCGAAAGGGAUUAGAUACCCCAGUAGUC